RNAcentral lists this ribosomal RNA (618 nucleotides) under uncultured Actinomycetes bacterium. Its description in RNAcentral is "bacterial SSU rRNA". It matches the Rfam family "Bacterial small subunit ribosomal RNA", at positions 556 to 1174 of the family's 1533-position model. The record is from RNAcentral. Lineage: Bacteria; Bacillati; Actinomycetota; Actinomycetes.
GGGCGUAAGGGCUCGUAGGUGGUUUGUCGCGUCGUCUGUGAAAUUCCGGGGCUUAACUCCGGGCGUGCAGGCGAUACGGGCAUAACUUGAGUACUGUAGGGGUAACUGGAAUUCCUGGUGUAGCGGUGAAAUGCGCAGAUAUCAGGAGGAACACCGAUGGCGAAGGCAGGUUACUGGGCAGUUACUGACGCUGAGGAGCGAAAGCAUGGGUAGCGAACAGGAUUAGAUACCCUGGUAGUCCAUGCCGUAAACGGUGGGCGCUAGGUGUGAGGGUCUUUUCACGACUUUCGUGCCGUAGCUAACGCAUUAAGCGCCCCGCCUGGGGAGUACGGCCGCAAGGCUAAAACUCAAAGGAAUUGACGGGGGCCCGCACAAGCGGCGGAGCAUGUGGAUUAAUUCGAUGCAACGCGAAGAGCCUUACCUGGGCUUGACAUACACCGGAUCGGGCUAGAGAUAGUCUUUCCCUUUGUGGCUGGUGUACAGGUGGUGCAUGGUUGUCGUCAGCUCGUGUCGUGAGAUGUUGGGUUAAGUCCCGCAACGAGCGCAACCCUUGUCUUAUGUUGCCAGCAUUUGGUUGGGGACUCAUGAGAGACUGCCGGGGUCAACUCGGAGGAAGGU